Molecule: ribosomal RNA, 433 nt
Filed under: uncultured bacterium
Lineage: Bacteria
Description: partial 16S ribosomal RNA
Rfam family: Bacterial small subunit ribosomal RNA
Source: RNAcentral
AACGAACGCUGGCGGCCGGCUUAACACAUGCAAGUCGAGCGAGACCUUCGGGUCUAGCGCCUGAAGGGUUCGUAACGCGUGUCAACGUACCCUUCUCUACGGAAUAUCCCCUGGAAACUGGGAGUAAUACCGUAUACGCCUUUUGGUAGAAAGUUUUAUCUGAUAUCGAUCUUCCUGAGUUGUAUUAGGUAGUUGGUGUGGUAAUGGCCCACGAAGCCGACGAUCCAUAGCUGGUUUGAGAGGAUGAUCAGCUACACUGGGACUGAGACACGGCCCAGACUCCUUAGGGAGGAAGCAGUGGGGAAGCUUAGACAAUGGGGGUAACCUUGAUGUAGUCAUGCCGGGUGAGUGAUGAAGGCCUUAGGGUUGUAAAGCUCUUUAAGAUGGGAAGAUAAUGACGGUACCAGAAGAAGAAGCCACGGCUAACUCCGUG